RNAcentral lists this ribosomal RNA (478 nucleotides) under uncultured bacterium. RNAcentral's name for it is "partial 16S ribosomal RNA". It matches the Rfam family "Bacterial small subunit ribosomal RNA", at positions 28 to 507 of the family's 1533-position model. The record is from RNAcentral.
GAUGAACGCUGGCGGCGUGCUUAGCACAUGCAAGUCGAACGAGAAAUGUAGACGGAAACCUUCGGGCGGAAGCCUUCAUUUCGAGUGGCGGACGGGUGAGUAACGCGUGGGUAACCUGCCUCAUACAGGGGGAUAACAGUUGGAAACGACUGUUAAUACCGCAUAAGACCACAGCAUCGCAUGAUGCGGGGGUAAAAACUCCGGUGGUAUGAGAUGGACCCGCGUUCGAUUAGCCAGUUGGCGGGGUAACGGCCCACCAAAGCGACGAUCGAUAGCCGAUCUGAGAGGAUGACCGGCCACAUUGGGACUGAGACACGGCCCAAACUCCUACGGGAGGCAGCAGUGGGGAAUAUUGCACAAUGGGGGAAACCCUGAUGCAGCGACGCCGCGUGAGUGAAGAAGUACUUCGGUAUGUAAAGCUCUAUCAGCAGGGAAGAAAAUGACGGUACCUGAGUAAGAAGCCCCGGCUAACUACGUG